RNAcentral lists this ribosomal RNA (405 nucleotides) under uncultured bacterium. Its description in RNAcentral is "partial 16S ribosomal RNA". It matches the Rfam family "Bacterial small subunit ribosomal RNA", at positions 28 to 526 of the family's 1533-position model. The record is from RNAcentral.
GAUGAACGCUGGCGGCGUGCCUAAUACAUGCAAGUCGAGCGAAGCGGGGACGGGUGAGUAACACGUGGAUGACCUCCUAUAAGACUGGGGUAACUUCGGGAAACCGGAGCUAAACCGGAUACUUAGAGAUGGAUGCUGGCUGCAUUAGCUAGUUGGUAAGGUAACGGCUUACCAAGGCAACGAUGCAUAGCCGACCUGAGAGGGUGAUCGGCCACACUGGAACUGAGACACGGUCCAGACUCCUACGGGAGGCAGCAGUGGGGAAUCUUGCGCAAUGGGCGAAAGCCUGACGGAGCCAUGCCGCGUGAGUGAUGAAGGUCUUCGGAUCGUAAAGCUCUGUUAUUAGGGAAGCGGUACCUACUGAGAAAGCAACGGCUAACUACGUGCCAGCAGCCGCGGUAAUAC